GACGUAAAUGGGACAAAUUGCUUGGGGAUUUUAAUCUCAAAUUGUUGAAGUGGAUUUUGGGUUGAAGUGGAUAAAAAUUGGUUGGGGAUUUUUAUAUAGGGCAUGUUUGUUUCGGCGAAAGUGGACUUUGAAUUGAAAUAGAUAUUAGGUUGAAGUGGAGUUCGGUGAAUCGACGUCGCAUCUCGAAGCGCUCUUCUUAAUUCGAAUGUGCAUUGACAUCAAGCUCUUUUCAGCACUUAGUGGGGCGAAUUUUUUCAGACCCAUUAAUUAAAA
This 273-nucleotide long non-coding RNA is filed under the name Ananas comosus (pineapple). RNAcentral's name for it is "long non-coding RNA (ACOM_LNC025457)". The record is from RNAcentral. Lineage: Eukaryota; Viridiplantae; Streptophyta; Magnoliopsida; Poales; Bromeliaceae.